Molecule: unclassified non-coding RNA, 207 nt
Filed under: Hevea brasiliensis (rubber tree)
Lineage: Eukaryota; Viridiplantae; Streptophyta; Magnoliopsida; Malpighiales; Euphorbiaceae
Source: RNAcentral
GUAAAACCCCGCCUCCACUCCUGAUUGUCUUAUGCCUUUUAACUUUAACCCCUUUCACAGUGAGAAAAUUAACUGAUUAUUCAGGUGAUUAGGGUGGGGUGGAAUUUACCUUUUACAUAGAAAAAGGUAAAUGCGUUUUUUGAAGGCUGUAUUUAUAAUGUUUAAAGCAUGUUGCCUCCCUUGGUCUAACCCAUUGAUGUGAAUACU